CUGAGUACUAUACUCUCUACCCUUUGUGAACUAUUAUACCUGUUGCUUCGGCGGCGCCCGCGAGGGUGCCCGCCGGUCUCAUCAGAAUCUCUGUUUUCGAACCCGACGAUACUUCUGAGUGUUCUUAGCGAACUGUCA
RNAcentral lists this unclassified non-coding RNA (138 nucleotides) under soil metagenome. RNAcentral's name for it is "partial internal transcribed spacer 1". The record is from RNAcentral.